UACGUAGGGUGCAGGCGUUAAUCGGAAUUACUGGGCGUAAAGCGUGCGCAGGCGGUUUCUUAAGUCAGAUGUGAAAGCCCCGGGCUUAACCUGGGAACUGCGUUUGAAACUGGGAGACUUGAGUGUAGCAGAGGGGGGUGGAAUUCCACGUGUAGCAGUGAAAUGCGUAGAGAUGCGGAGGAACACCGAUGGCGAAGGCAGCCCCCUGGGCUGACACUGACGCUCAGGCACGAAAGCGUGGGGAGCAAACAGG
Molecule: ribosomal RNA, 253 nt
Filed under: uncultured bacterium
Lineage: Bacteria
Description: partial 16S ribosomal RNA
Rfam family: Bacterial small subunit ribosomal RNA
Source: RNAcentral